This 1264-nucleotide long non-coding RNA is filed under the name Anas platyrhynchos platyrhynchos (common mallard). Its description in RNAcentral is "lncRNA (ENSAPLG00000017904.1)". Lineage: Eukaryota; Metazoa; Chordata; Aves; Anseriformes; Anatidae. The record is from RNAcentral.
CUGUCCCACUACCUGUUCUCUGGCUGUCCUUACCUUUGUCCUGGCCAGGGGGCUCCUAGAGUGGUCUCCCCCUGCCAAAAGGAGAGGCUGCAGCCUCUUCCCUGCAGUCCUUGAGCCUGUGGUGAAGUAUGUGGAGCCCUUGGUGUGUGAAGAGACUGCCUGCACCAUCUGGACUGUGAGGCGGCAUCUGCACUGCCUGCAAUGCCCCCAGGAUCCAUGGUACAGGCUGGGGGUGCACUGUGGCUUUGGCUGUCCCACUACCUGCUCUCUGGCUGUCCCCACCUUUGUCAGGGCCAGGGGGCUCCUAGAGGGGUCUCCCCCAGGCUGAGUGGAGGCUUCAGCCUCUUUCUGUCCUCCCCCAGUCCUGAAGUCCAGGAGGAAUGAUGUGUAGCCCUUGGUGGGUGAAGAGACUGCCUGCACCAUCUGGACUGUGAGGCAGCAUCUCCCCUGGCUGCAAUGCCUGUGGGAUCCCUGGUACAUGCUGGUGGUGCACUGCUGCUUGCCUCAAAGAUUGUGGCAGGCGCUGAAGCGGGAGCCAGAGGCCUGGAAGAAUCCCGAAGAAACUUCACAAUCUGAAGACUCCUCAGUGCACUGAGAUCCAUGACACAGCAUGGGACAGCGAGUGGGCCUCGAGCCCACAGGGGUUUUGGAUGCCUCCAGGAAAGGCGCCUCCAGCACUGCCCCCCUGCAACCACAGAGAAAUUAAAGAAAUGCCACGUGUUUAUCCUGAGCCUCCUGGGGUCACGCCUCAGUCCUCCACAGCCUCCAGCAUCCUCCCAGCUCUGCACCUGCCUCCUUCAAGCAGUUCCUGUCCUCCUGGAGCUCAGGCCCCAGAGUGGGAUGCCAUAUCCCCCUCACAGCCCCACAGGGGCAGAGUAGAGGAGGAUGAGGACCUCUCCCACCUCCUGAGCACCCCCAAGAGCAGGAAGGCUGUGCUGCUCUCCUUCCCCACCUUGCUGCCUCCUGGGAUGCUCUGUUUGGAGGGUAUGUGCUGGAGCAGCAGUGGACAGACCUGAUGCUGACCUGCCUGGAGGUGGUGUCACAUGAGGCAGGGAGAUGAAGUGAUGCCUGCUGUGUGCCAGAAGCUACUGGAGUGGCCAGUCCUCAUGACACGCUGCUAUCCCCACUCUGUUGCUGUGAUGAUACUCUUCGUCUGCCCCAUGAGACAGAACUACCAAUUGCACAGCCUCCUGAAAACCCUACAGGGCCCCCGACACCCCGCAGGGCCCCUCAACACCCCCUGUCUGUGCCCGCAGAUCCUCAA